Molecule: ribosomal RNA, 231 nt
Filed under: uncultured bacterium
Lineage: Bacteria
Description: partial 16S ribosomal RNA
Rfam family: Bacterial small subunit ribosomal RNA
Source: RNAcentral
UGAGGAACAUGACCUUCGGCGGGGGAUAGCCGGCCCAACGGCCGGGUAAUACCGCGUACGACCACAUGGGGACAUCCCUGAGUGGUGAAAGCAGCAAUGCGCCGAUGGAGUGCCUCGCGGCCUAUCAGCUAGUUGGUGAGGUAACGGCUCACCAAGGCGACGACGGGUANCUGGUCUGAGAGGAUGGCCAGCCACAUUGGGACUGAGACACGGCCCAGACCUCUACGGGAG